GAUGAACGCUGGCGGCGUGCCUAAUACAUGCAAGUCGAGCGAACGGACGAGAAGCUUGCUUCUCUGAUGUUAGCGGCGGACGGGUGAGUAACACGUGGAUAACCUACCUAUAAGACUGGGAUAACUUCGGGAAACCGGAGCUAAUACCGGAUAAUAUUUUGAACCGCAUGGUUCAAUAGUGAAAGACGGUCUUGCUGUCACUUAUAGAUGGAUCCGCGCUGCAUUAGCUAGUUGGUAAGGUAACGGCUUACCAAGGCAACGAUGCAUAGCCGACCUGAGAGGGUGAUCGGCCACACUGGAACUGAGACACGGUCCAGACUCCUACGGGAGGCAGCAGUAGGGAAUCUUCCGCAAUGGGCGAAAGCCUGACGGAUCAACGCCGCGUGAGUGAUGAAGGUCUUCGGAUCGUAAAACUCUGUUAUUAGGGAAGAACAUAUGUGUAAGUAACUGUGCACAUCUUGACGGUACCUAAUCAGAAAGCCACGGCUAACUACGUG
Molecule: ribosomal RNA, 497 nt
Filed under: uncultured bacterium
Lineage: Bacteria
Description: partial 16S ribosomal RNA
Rfam family: Bacterial small subunit ribosomal RNA
Source: RNAcentral